RNAcentral lists this long non-coding RNA (303 nucleotides) under Elaeis guineensis (African oil palm). RNAcentral describes it as "long non-coding RNA (EGUI_LNC028727)". Lineage: Eukaryota; Viridiplantae; Streptophyta; Magnoliopsida; Arecales; Arecaceae. The record is from RNAcentral.
AAUGGAUCUUCUUCUUUCUCCAAGAUGUAAAUAGAAUCUGAAGGAUUGGAGGCUACCCAUUUAGCUUGAGGUAGAUCUCGAGAGAACGCCAGAUGGAAGGGACAUUUGAUGAAAAGAUGUGAUAUGGUCUCGGAGUUCACUCCACACAAAGGACAUCUGGUACAAACCAUCCAACCUUUUCUUGCAACCACUUCCCUCAUUUGGAGUUUAUUCUUUAGACGAAGCCAAAAAGGACACCUUUGCUUUCUCAAGGUACUGCAGCCUUCAGAUUACACCAUAGAAUGGCCACCUGAUCCCACGGCU